Molecule: long non-coding RNA, 843 nt
Filed under: Oreochromis niloticus (Nile tilapia)
Lineage: Eukaryota; Metazoa; Chordata; Actinopteri; Cichliformes; Cichlidae
Description: lncRNA (ENSONIG00000028310.1)
Source: RNAcentral
AUGCCCCAACUCUGGACGAAGACAGGAAUUUUGUUUGGACUCAGAAUGGAGGACACAUCGCAACAAGAGAAACAAGAGUUGGAAUAUAAAAAUCCAAAUGAAGAGGAAGGUGGGAUCCGUCGCCGAUUGCGAGACAGGGACCUUCUCAGGAAGAGAAAGGCCGAAGCAGAAGAGAAGGAAACUAACCAGGUGGAGAGCCAACGGAAAAGAUCAAGAGCUGAGGACAAGAGCGGUGCGAAGAAGAGAGGGAGGCCCAGGAAGACUGAACCCACACCGCAGCUGUCUGCUGUUCAGGAAGAAGUCGAAGCACUUAAGGAAACUCCUGCAGUAGUGGUGGUACCCGAACCCGCUGUGGUCAUUCAGGACCAAAUAACCAGCUCUCUGCCUCCGCUGUUUGGGCUGGAAUCACAACCAGCUUCAGUCCUUGCUGCUCCUGCUCCUGCAGCAGUGUUCGAGUCUGUGCAGAAUUCAGCUCCUGCUCCAACUCUGGCUUUUGCUGCUCCAGUUCCCGUCCAAGAUUCAGCUCCUGCUCCAGAUGCUGUCUUAGUCCCAGCUCAGUCCCUAGACUCUGUUCCAGCUGUAACUCCUGCUCCUCCCUCAGCUCCUCCCCAAGUGGAGACCCUCUAUACAGAGUCACAAAGCAAGGAGGCCCCAGGCCAGGUCCUGAUUGAGGACUUAGGCCCAGAUGAGGAGGAGGACGUCUCUCCAUUGCAAGGCAACAAACGUGCUAAUGAAGAUUUGAGUGAAACACUUUCGAUCAACGUGCCUGAACAAAAUAACGUGUACUCAGUUCCAACUGUCUCUGCUCAGCCUAUGGCUCAGGAAUAUUUUCCAGGAAAUUAA